AUGGAAGACAGUUGUGGUCUUCUGGAUUUUGCAGUUCUCUGCUUCAUUAGGACCAGGAACUUGUCUGAGCCCAGAGAGAGCCUGAGUGGUGACGUUCAAAGGGAGAAGAUAAGCCUGGACUUCUUGGAAAGGAUGUUAGAGGAAGACAAGAAUCAUAUUGAAUUUAUGGCCCAGGCAAAUUGCAUAUGACCUCAUCUUAACUUGAUGACAUCUACAAAGACUCCAUUUCCAGCUCACGGUGAAGGAACCCUGAGAGGACAGAGCUAUGUGAUGGAAUGAGCCAGGAUCCCUGAGUCCUCACCUAGAGAAGAGAUGUGCAGAAGAGCCACUCAACAGAUGGUGGUGUGCUGAUAAACAUUUAGUGACCCAUUUGGGGUAUGGGGAAAGGCUCUAGUCAGUAACAUUUGUUCAUUUCUGUUAUGUAUACUCCCAGUAUGGCUGCGUUUAGACAACCAAGGUGAUGUCACUGAACACAGUUUGGAAUGGAUGCACAUAAUCAGUUCUUAUGAUGCUGGAUGAACCAACCCCAGCACACCACUGCCCCCAACCCACAUGUAACUGUGUCAUAAUUUUAAUUUAAAAAUAAACAUAUUUGGUUAAGCCUUUGAGAUUCAUUGGGGAUUGUUUGUUAUAGCAACUAGAUAGUGUUAACCUAGCUAAUAUAAUCCAGUACUUAGAAAAUUAUGAGAAACCGCUGGGCGUGGUGGCUCACGCCUAUAAUCCCAGCACUUUGGGAGGCCAAGGUGGGUGGAUCACAAAGUCAAGAGAUCGAGACCAUCCUGGUCAACAAGGUGAAAUCCCGUCUCUACUAAAAAUACAAAAAUUAGCUGGGCAUGGUGGUGCGCACCUGUAGUCCCAGCUACUCAGGAGGCUGAGGCAGGAGAAUUGCUUGAACCCAGGAGGCGGAGGUUGAGGUGAGCCGAGAUCGUGCCAUUGCACUCCAGUCUGGGUAACAACAGCGAAACUCUGUCUCAAAAAAAAAAAAAUUAUGAGAAACAAUCUACUUCAUUUUAGUGUAGCUGUUACAUCAAAAUUUGACAAUAUAAUAGAAGAAAGAAAACAUAAGCAGUCCUUUGUAAACACGAACAAUAAAUAAUUGUCUUACAUCAGCUUUAAAGUUCUUAAACAAAACCCAAUUAGUCAAACAAGCAGCAAGCAAACAUUUGUGUGCAAGUUAAAUUUAUUGCGAAGAUGCAAGAAUGAUUUAGAGAUAGAAGCUUCAUUGAUAAUUUAUCACAGUAGGUUCAAGGAGAAAAAGUACAUUAGCGUUAUAAUAGGUCCUGAAAAAGCAUUGAAAACAACAAUAAAAACUCUAUUAAGUGAAUGUUUCUAUAAUAUGAGAAAGAAUACAGAUACUAAACAGCCAAUGUCAUAUUUCAUUCUAAAACAUGAGAAUUCAGGAACAAGAGGAGAAUGGCC
This 1419-nucleotide long non-coding RNA is filed under the name Callithrix jacchus (white-tufted-ear marmoset). RNAcentral describes it as "lncRNA (ENSCJAG00000079290.1)". The record is from RNAcentral. Lineage: Eukaryota; Metazoa; Chordata; Mammalia; Primates; Cebidae.